GACGAACGCUGGCGGCGUGCUUAACACAUGCAAGUCGAACGGAAAGGCCCUGCUUUUGUGGGGUGCUCGAGUGGCGAACGGGUGAGUAACACGUGAGUAACCUGCCCUUGACUUUGGGAUAACUUCAGGAAACUGGGGCUAAUACCGGAUAGGAGCUCCUGCUGCAUGGUGGGGGUUGGAAAGUUUCGGCGGUUGGGGAUGGACUCGCGGCUUAUCAGCUUGUUGGUGGGGUAGUGGCUUACCAAGGCUUUGACGGGUAGCCGGCCUGAGAGGGUGACCGGCCACAUUGGGACUAUGCUACGGCCCAGACUCCUACGGGAGGCAGCAGUGGGGAAUAUUGCGCAAUGGGCGGAAGCCUGAUGCAGCAACGCCGCGUGCGGGAUGACGGCCUUCGGGUUGUAAACCGCUUUCGCCUGUGACGAAGCGUGAGUGACGGUAAUGGGUAAAGAAGCACCGGCUAACUACGUG
RNAcentral lists this ribosomal RNA (468 nucleotides) under uncultured bacterium. RNAcentral describes it as "partial 16S ribosomal RNA". It matches the Rfam family "Bacterial small subunit ribosomal RNA", at positions 28 to 507 of the family's 1533-position model. The record is from RNAcentral.